Molecule: long non-coding RNA, 1481 nt
Filed under: Physcomitrium patens
Lineage: Eukaryota; Viridiplantae; Streptophyta; Bryopsida; Funariales; Funariaceae
Description: long non-coding RNA (PPAT_LNC001946)
Source: RNAcentral
AAAAACAAAAUACAAUUGUGGCCUCAUGGACUAGGGCAAGGGCAACUUUGAUCCUUUGGCACCAUCAAAGCCAAUCCUUUUGAUAAAAGAAUUAGGGUUCCAAUGAUAAGGGCUUUUCUUUAUUACAAUGACAUCAACCACCACGCGGCACCAUCAUGUUUCAAAAGCAUUUCUACACAAAUCAAUCCAAGUUUUAAAAGUCCAAUUCCUUGUGAAUUAGGUAUCAUACAUUGCCAUAUGUUGUGGUUACUUUUCAACAAACUUGUAUUCUUUGUAUUUUAAGUAUUUGUAAACAAAGGAAAAGUUAGAAAAACAGAAGCGGAGUAAAGCAUCUAGAGAAUAGGUUCUGUUGUAUAUGUGUAUAUAUAUAUAUAUAUAUAUAGAUAGAUAUAUGACUUUAUGACUUUAUAUUAUCAUUAUUGUUCUUUUGAGCAUGUAUGUAUAUGUAUGCAUAUAUAUAUAUAUAUAUAAUUUGCACCUUGGAAUGUUGGUGUAUUCUGUAAUUGUUUUCAUGACGGUAAUAAUGUGAGAAUCAAAGCAUUUAUGUUGUUAUAUUUUAUAUAUUUUUGUUGUUGUUGUUGUUAGGUCUUAAUAUGGUGGGAAUGCAAGUAGCUCGUGUCAAUCUGCCAGUAUCAUACAUGUGUGCCAACCAUAUGAUUUGAAGGUGGGAAUGAACAAUGGAGCAGGCUCUUGUUUCAUUAUUUCAGUGUAAAGCAAUGUGCUGAGGGAAUAUGACAACAAUGACAAUGUUAUCAUUUGAACCCACAAGUUGGACCCACUAUAAUUCCCAUUCUACAUUGUAUAUUGUAGUUUGUGUUUUAAAACAAGGAGAAAAAUCAUUGCCACCAUCAGUUUGGGUUUGUUUCCAAUCCAUCAAGUUAUAUACUUACGUAAUUAUAUUCAGAAUUUUUGAACUAUUUGGUGAGGUUGAUGUUGUAUGCGGUGCAUUUUUCUUAGUGAAAAUAAUACACCUUUUCACUGUCCUGGAUUGUCAAUUGUAAUGUCAAUAAAUUGUAACUUUAUGUUUUGAUUUUGUAUUUGAUUUAAUUCUAACAAAAUUUCAUGUCAAUGAAAAUGAGAAUAGCCUAAAGAACCAGUUUCUUUUUUCAAGUUAGAUUUAAUAAAAAUUUGAAAAUUUAUAUUGUAUGUAUGUAUGUAUGUAUGUGUAUAGAUAGAUAGAUACAUAUAUAUAUAUAUAUAGUCUUGUGUUAACUGUGAUCUCUUCCUACAGAUAUAAAUAUAAAUGAAAUAUUAUUGGAAGCCACAGUGUUUAACAACAAAUAAGUUUUAUCUACUAAGUAAAAAAUUUAGAUUGAUUAAUAACAAAAAUUUAUUUUUUUAGUUAAUAUAAUUGAAUAUGAAUAAUUAAUCAGUAUAUUAGAAAAUAUAAAGAUAUCAAAUAUGAUUAAAUGUUUUACUAGAAUACAUUUUGUGUAAAUACAUAUGAACAAUUGUUAAAAGUAAAAUAUUAUAAUUUUUUA